UGGGUUUAUUGAUUAAUUUUGGGACAUGAGAAUUGGUUGACGGAACCAUCUCAUUUAACAACAACUUUGUAGUAAUAUUUGCUUUUGCCUCCUUUUUUGUACAGAAAAAUCUGCUUUUCGUUGAAAAUUUAACUUACAGCCCCACCUGCCAUAUAUGCAUUUUGUAUAGAGGAUGAUUUUACUAGUACUCUCUUGCGACCCGUUGGCAUAUUAAAAAUGCUUACCUACAUGGCUCCAACGUCUCUUGUUGCAGAGUAUUAUUCUGACUAGGAGUGAGGACACGUUCUAUGCUCGGAGAUAUGCAAUUGGAGUCGGAUGGACUCGCUAUCGUCUACGUCUUUCACAGUAGUUUAUCUCAUGAGUUGACCUUCAACCAAAUUUAUGAUAAUAA
RNAcentral lists this long non-coding RNA (391 nucleotides) under Hordeum vulgare. RNAcentral's name for it is "long non-coding RNA (HVUL_LNC015934)". Lineage: Eukaryota; Viridiplantae; Streptophyta; Magnoliopsida; Poales; Poaceae. The record is from RNAcentral.